CAAAUACAAAUGUAUAGAGUAUAUUGUUCAAGAAGGAACCCUUAAGACACGCUACCAGUUAAUUUCUAAGUGGCUUUUGAUAAAAUAUAAAAGAGAUAUUUUUUUGUCCUCUAUCUUCUUCUUCUCUUUUCCCUAAACCUCUCUCUCUUUCCUCUGUCGACAAAACGCGAAAUGGUGAAUUCGAUCUCUUGAUCCAGCUUCAAAAACAUAACGAAAUUAUCAAUCACAGAUCCACAAGAAGGUAUAAGGAGAGUCACCAGACUUGCUAGGCGCACAAUCUCAUCCUCUGUCACAAUCCAUCCUCCGUCACAAGGGAAAUUAUAUAUUUUGAUGGUUUCUACGGUGAUCGCAAACAGAGAGAUAGGGAGGUCGAGGUGUUUUGGAUUUGUCAGCUUCAGCAGUGAAGAUUCUGCAAACACUGCUGUAUCAGAAAUGGAUGGAAAGGUCUAUGGUUGGGGAAGAGGAGAACAUGGAAGACUCGAGUUAGGUGAUAAUGGCAGAGAUGACAGUAGCCAACCUUGUAGGCCAAUUUGACUGGUCCAAAUGGGGAUGGAUCUGAUCUUGCUAAAACCAUUGGUAUCGAUGUUUGCUGCAAGUUCCCUGUCAUUGAGUUUCCAUCUUCUGUUAUGUAAAAUGUUUUCUCUUUCACUUUGUUUUGUAACACUACUAAGAAAAUUUGUAAGAAUUGACAACCUUUCAUUUUGGAAUAUAAUUAAGCAAUUGUUGAAAAAAAUUGAA
Molecule: long non-coding RNA, 738 nt
Organism: Camelina sativa (false flax)
Lineage: Eukaryota; Viridiplantae; Streptophyta; Magnoliopsida; Brassicales; Brassicaceae
Source: RefSeq, a predicted model, not a curated record